Long non-coding RNA from Gallus gallus (chicken), 1137 nucleotides. The record is from Ensembl. NCBI's taxonomy places the organism in Eukaryota, Metazoa, Chordata, Aves, Galliformes, Phasianidae.
UCUUCCUGGAGAUUGCUCCUUGUGGAGUUUUUACGAGCCUACAACACCGCUCUGCCGUGCCUGGGUGGAAAUGCUGGAGCGGACUGAGAGCAGAGCAUGAUGAUCCCAAAUGGGGAAGUGUACCUUUGUCAGAUGGAGGAUGAUGGAGGGAGUCUUCCCUUGGUGGUAUCACCAUCUCAGUGAUGUAUUUCAGUGACUUCAGUAGACAUCUGCAGAACUCAGGACUGAUUCCUAUUUUUUUGUUGCAGCACAACUUUCACACCAACACUUAGUGGUUCCUGAGCAAGUGCUGCAGUAGAAUCUUUGGAGAUAACCCCAACAGCACAAGCUAUUUGUCAUCAUUUGCCAGUAUUGUUCUGUGGCACAGAAAGUGCCAACAGGUGCCAUUUAAGAUGCUUCUCUCUCUGACAAUGCCUUUUUAAUAGCUGCCGAAUGAUCCCUGCUGCCCUUGCAUAGCCAAGCCAGCUGGCCGUAUGUAUCCCAAGGCUGCGACUCCAUCAGCAACUUUUAAAUUAAAACUCAAAAACUGGUGUAAGUUCACAGAAGAGAAGAGCAUUGAGUGUGGGGGCUGCUAUCGAGAGGCGAGAGCACAGAUUUUUCAGCCAACUCUGGAAGGCCUGUUGUUCAUCUGCCAGUGCAUUGUUCCAGCCUGAGAAUGGGCAGCCUGCCAUUCUCACAGAUGGGCGGAAGAGCAGGCUGGAAGGAGAUGGGCAUUGCGUGUCAAAUGUUUCUGGUAGUGAACUGCAACCUGGGAUCUCCAGAUAACAGCGCUUACAACAAGGGCCUGUAGUUAUGGGCUAGUUAAGGUGUAGAUGAACAUGUUAUGGAAAACGGAGACAAAUGUUUAUUCUAAUAUGGUAAGUACCCAGAUACAGUAACUCCUGACAGACAGCCAAGCUGUGGGAGACUGAAACUGUACACCAAAAGAUCUGGGGUUACUGAAUUACUUUAGAAAAUGUCUUCAGUGUGAAUCUUUCCUCUGCACAGGCCCUUCCUCCUUGAGUGCCCCCACAGGGAUAAGCUCAAAGGCAAGCAGCACUUAGAAGGCUGUUUAGUUGGAAAUUGCAUUUGUGAGACAUUUUUAUGUGGAGGGCCCACAGCAUUUUGGUGAAAUAAAAUGCCAAGUUAAUAAACGUG